UUCAUUCUCGGGAAGCAAAAAACUUAGUGUCUGCCCUGCCAUCCUAUCUCCUUUCCCUCCUGGUUGCCAGGAGCAGGGAGCAAGGGACAGAGUAGGUAGAGGGAAUGCCCCUAUGACUCUGCCACUUGACAGGCUGACAAGCUUGGGCUGGGACAUGGCAGCGUCCCUGUUGCCGGGCAACUCCAUUGUUGCCUCAGAGACAGGAGGGGUGGGGCUGGUGCUCAGAGAGGUGGCCAGCGAGAAGCACCGCAGUCAUGGAAUGGGCACAACCACGGACAGGUCUGCACUGCCGUGUCUAUGAUUGCAGUUUCAAAAACCUCACAGAACCACAGUUACGGCUGCAUCCGCAUCCAAAUGUAACACUUCAGCAACCAAACCUCAGGUCUCAACAGCGAACUUUACUGCAAAUCGAAGGUUCAGAUUGGAGUUUGGAAAAAAUUGUUUGUAGCAGUUCUUGGAUAUGAUCCAUAAGAAGAAAGAAAGCCAUUGACCAACUCACCAUCAUAAUCUGGGAAACAAAUGCUGAGGUGUACUUUCUUGAUCUUUUCCUCAAAGAGGUCCUUCUUGUUCAAGAACAGAAUAAUGGAGGUGGCAGCAAAGAACUUGUGAUUGCAUAUACUGUUGAACAGAUGCAAAGAUUCAUGCAUGCGGUUCUAGAAGUGGAAGGAUCAAACAUUUUUUUUUAAACAUGAAGCUGAAAAGAUUUUAUUCAAAGUGUGUGUGUGUUCUGUCUUCAGUACAUGCAGCUCGAGAACUUCCUCAAUAAAAGAUGUGACCAUUACACAAAA
Molecule: long non-coding RNA, 788 nt
Organism: Hemicordylus capensis (graceful crag lizard)
Lineage: Eukaryota; Metazoa; Chordata; Lepidosauria; Squamata; Cordylidae
Exons: 2
Source: RefSeq, a predicted model, not a curated record